RNAcentral lists this unclassified non-coding RNA (211 nucleotides) under plant metagenome. RNAcentral's name for it is "partial contains small subunit ribosomal RNA, internal transcribed spacer 1, and 5.8S ribosomal RNA". The record is from RNAcentral.
UUUCCGUAGGUGAACCUGCGGAAGGAUCAUUCAUAAUAAAGUGUUUUAUGGCACUUUUUAAAAAUCCAUAUCCACCUUGUGUGCACUGUUAGAUCUCGUCCAUCUUGGCGAGAUUUUUAUACAUCACCUCAUUCUUUAACUAAUUUGUCUGAAAAUUAUUAUGACUAUUUAAACCAAAAUACAACUUUCAACAACGGAUCUCUUGGCUCUC